Molecule: ribosomal RNA, 609 nt
Filed under: Serratia sp. 1Sp90
Lineage: Bacteria; Pseudomonadati; Pseudomonadota; Gammaproteobacteria; Enterobacterales; Yersiniaceae
Description: bacterial SSU rRNA
Rfam family: Bacterial small subunit ribosomal RNA
Source: RNAcentral
ACGAYCCCUAGCUGGUCUGAGAGGAUGACCAGCCACACUGGAACUGAGACACGGUCCAGACCCCUACGGGAGGCAGCAGUGGGGAAUAUUGCACAAUGGGCGCAAGCCUGAUGCAGCCAUGCCGCGUGUGUGAAGAAGGCCUUCGGGUUGUAAAGCACUUUCAGCGAGGAGGAAGGGUUCRGUGUUAAUAGCACUGUUCAUUGACGUUACUSGCAGAAGAAGCACCGGCUAACUCCGUGCCAGCAGCCGCGGUAAUACGGAGGGUGCAASCGUUAAUCGGAAUUACUGGSCGUAAAGCGCACGCAGGCGGUUUGUUAAGUCAGAUGUGAAAUCCCCGAGCUUAACUUGGGAACUGCAUUUGAAACUGGCAAGCUAGAGUCUUGUAGAGGGGGGUAGAAUUCCAGGUGUAGCGGUGAAAUGCGUAGAGAUCUGGAGGAAUACCGGUGGCGAAGGCGGCCCCCUGGACAAAGACUGACGCUCAGGUGCGAAAGCGUGGGGAGCAAACAGGAUUAGAUACCCUGGUAGUCCACGCUGUAAACGAUGUCGACUUGGAGGUUGUGCCCUUGAGGCGUGGCUUCCGGACUAACGCGUUAAGUCGACCGCCUGGGG